AUUUGACUGCAAUGCACUCACAACCACUUAAUUCUGCUCUUAGUACCUUUUCUUAUCAACAAAACAAUUGGAUGCAUUUAAUGUCGCAUGACAGUAUGUCUUAAUUUUCGAUUGAUUAUUCUUGAUUAGAAAACUUAAAGAUGACACAUGUGACGUAUCCAGUAAUUGACAUGCAAGGAUGCAUGCAGAAUUGUUAAUGGUUCCAAUGCAUACGGAUGGAAUCGGUAACCAGCAGUGUCUUAUGAAAUGAAAUAAAAUAAUCUUACCUGUUUAUACCUUUUAUUGACAGAUUAAACUUAAGUGUUUGUAUUUGACUUGAUGGUUAAUAUAACUGAACGUUCACGCUUCUUUUGUCUUUUCUGAUUGUAGAUUUACCGUUCCUUUAUGCAAUUGAAUUAAACAAUAAACAGUUAUAUACGUACACUA
Mytilus trossulus (common blue mussel) is the source of this 426-nucleotide long non-coding RNA. RefSeq lists it as uncharacterized. The transcript is spliced from 2 exons. The record is from RefSeq and is a predicted model, not a curated record. NCBI's taxonomy places the organism in Eukaryota, Metazoa, Mollusca, Bivalvia, Mytilida, Mytilidae.